UUCUAUCGCCCAAUCAAUACCGAUAAGCCAGAUUUUAAUGACUAAUUUAACCCUAAUUACUUCGUUUUGCUUUGUUUAUUUUGUUAUUAACCAGCACAAUCCAAGGCAGAUAAGCAAUAUUAUAGAUGUGAUCUACAAGUGGACCACCGUUCAUUAUGCUCGUCGAUAUUAACACUAUUUAAUGUACAUAAUAUAAUAUCAGAAUUACAGUGCAAAGCUGUUUACACUCUUUACAGUCACAUACAUGAAAGUAGUUCUGAAAGAUGAACGAUUUUAUUCAUUAAUUAAAGGGACAUGUUCAAUUUCAAAUUUAAAGAAGACGAGUGAGAAAUGAGUAUGUGAGUUUGAGAUGAUGUUUUCAGUUUUGAUUCGCCCCUUUCCUAUGUAACCUAUUUUACGAGCGAAUGUUUUGUACCUUCAAUAUUCUUGAUUUUUCUUAAAAGCAAGAAUGAUUGGCGCUAGGUGGUCACACUAAGGAUUUUUGCACCAUAGCAGAGAAUAUUUAUAUCUGGUGUGACGAUGAUACUUGUUUAUAGAAUUCUUUAGAAUGUCCCCUUUGAAAUUUUAGAUUGGUAAACGUAUUAUAGGUGUCAUUUAUAUUAAAAUUUUAUGUUAUUACCCAACAGUUACGAUAUUUCUGCGUUUUUGUUACAGAAUUUUAGACAACGAAGUAUUUAUAAAUCAGAUUAGCUUAUUAUAUUUGUUGUAGUUAUGACAUUUGUGUAAAGACAGUGCCACUAAUGCAAACAAGGUUGAGAUGGAAUAGGAUUUACGUUUGCGAGAUAAAAGUAUUAUUGUUUCGCUCUUAUCAGCGGUAAGCCGAUGAAAUUGAAAAUAAUUAAAAGAUAGAAUUCGCAACAAAAAUAUUAAUUUUGUUAUUACCAGGCAAUAUUCGGAUUUUCGACAAAAGUGUUGGAAUUCGCCCAGAUUCUCAACACUGGACAGAUUCAAAAAAUGGCCGCGGCAAUGGAUCAUGACACGAAAAGACAGAUUGUAAAAGGAAAAGACUUAUUGCUGGUCGGACUAUCAAUACACCGUCUGUAAAUCAUAAUAUUGUAAAUAAAAAACGUAAACGUCGUAAAAAGUAAAACGUCGGUGACGAAGCUUUUUCACACAACGAAAUGUUUUCUACUCUGUAAACGGCGUAAUAUUUGGUAACCA
Molecule: non-coding RNA, 1161 nt
Organism: Styela clava
Lineage: Eukaryota; Metazoa; Chordata; Ascidiacea; Stolidobranchia; Styelidae
Source: RefSeq, a predicted model, not a curated record